UGCGACCACCAAUGUUCCGGCAGUCUGUGAGGAGCGCCUUCGGGUGACUGCACAAUAAAACUCUCUAAGCCUGAAAGGGAGUACAUGAAAAAUGUGGCAAAUCUGCUCACCUUUGAAAGCAGAUAUC
Molecule: small RNA, 127 nt
Filed under: Enterobacter kobei
Lineage: Bacteria; Pseudomonadati; Pseudomonadota; Gammaproteobacteria; Enterobacterales; Enterobacteriaceae
Also listed under: 1 other name
Description: STAXI RNA
Rfam family: STAXI RNA
Source: RNAcentral